This 257-nucleotide ribosomal RNA is filed under the name uncultured archaeon. Its description in RNAcentral is "partial 16S ribosomal RNA". It matches the Rfam family "Bacterial small subunit ribosomal RNA", at positions 520 to 776 of the family's 1533-position model. The record is from RNAcentral.
AUAAGACGAACCGUGCUAACGUUGUUCGGAAUCACUGGGCUUAAAGGGCGCGUAGGCGGGUAAUCAAGUCGAUGGUGAAAUCCGGCAGCUCAACUGUCGAACUGCCUUCGAUACUGAAUAUCUAGAGGGAAGUAGGGGCGUGUGGAACAGUUGGUGGAGCGGUGAAAUGCACAGAUAUCAACUGGAACUCCGGUGGCGAAAGCGACACGCUGGACUUUAUCUGACGCUGAGGCGCGAAAGCCAGGGGAGCAAACGGG